CCAAAAAAAUGGCCUAUGCGGCCGCAUGGUGUAUUUCCAUACAGUCGCAUGGUUCAGUCCGGUUGGCUCUUUGAAUUUCGGUAAGCCUCCAUGCGGUUGCAUGGUGUUUUGCCUGUGCGGCUGCACAGGCUUGUUUUCAGCCUUCGAUUUCGUCGCUUGAUAACAAAUUGAUCCAAGUUGAUUCGGCCUUCGAUCCGAACAUGAAAGUUGCUCCAUUUUGAGUCCCGAACAUGGUUCCAUCAAUGGUUUCUUGAAUGAGCAAUCCCAUCGCUUGUUUCACUUGCUUUGCCCUUGAUCGCGUCAUUGGUCCGCCAUCGACUAUCAACGGGUCUCGUCUCGCACUCGCCUUCGUCGGGCUCG
This 360-nucleotide long non-coding RNA is filed under the name Olea europaea (common olive). Its description in RNAcentral is "long non-coding RNA (OEUR_LNC008135)". Lineage: Eukaryota; Viridiplantae; Streptophyta; Magnoliopsida; Lamiales; Oleaceae. The record is from RNAcentral.